RNAcentral lists this long non-coding RNA (513 nucleotides) under Drosophila guanche. The record is from RNAcentral. Lineage: Eukaryota; Metazoa; Arthropoda; Insecta; Diptera; Drosophilidae.
AAAAAAUCCAUGAUCAAUAAUCCUGGACAGCACCCAUCAAACAACUAUCCCUCUCUCUGCUUAUGUGAUUGGUUCCCUGCAACGAUUCAAACAUCCCUCAAGCAAGUGUUUCGUCCCGUCCCUUUCGAAUGAAUCUGCGGCACUAAACGAUUCAAACGUCCCUCAAGCAAGUGUUUCGUCCAGUCCCUUUCAAAUGAAUCUGCGGCACUAUUUUAUUUUGGGAUCGUUUAUCUCUUUUGGUUUUUUGGUUUUAUGGUUUUUUCUGUAAAAGGUCCUCCUAGCCCCUUGACUGUUCGUUUACUUUUGUUAUCAUUUCUUUUGUCUGUGCGUAUACCUAACACUGUCCUAUAGUUACAUACCCAUAUAAUAGCUACUCACAGCUACAAGCCUUCUCAUAAACUAGUGGAUUCUAAACGAAGAUGGAUGACCUAGAAAUUAUUUUGGUCGAUGAUAAUGACGAAGGGGACAGAAAACGAUUCCAGGAACUUCUUCGCGACGAAGAUAAUGCCGAAU